CAAUAGCGUAUAUUAAAGUUGUUGCAGUUAAAAAGCUCGUAGUUGGAUUUGUGGCGUACGGUGUGUUCCGGGCACUUGUUGUCUGAGUAACCUGCUGUUGCCAUCCUUGGGUGGAACCUGUGUGGCAUUAGGUUGUCGUGCAGGGGAUGCCCAUCAUUUACUGUGAAAAAAUUAGAGUGUUCAAAGCAGGCUUAUGCCGUUGAAUAUAUUAGCAUGGGAUAAUGAGAUAGGACUUUUUUGCUAUUUUGUUGGUUUGCGCAAAGAGGUAAUGAUUAAUAGGGACAGUUGGGGGUAUUCGUAUUCCAUUGUCAGAGGUGAAAUUCUUGGAUUUUUGGAAGACGAACUACUGCGAAAGCAUUUACCAAGGAUGUUUUCAUUAA
This 380-nucleotide ribosomal RNA is filed under the name uncultured eukaryote. RNAcentral describes it as "partial 18S ribosomal RNA". It matches the Rfam family "Eukaryotic small subunit ribosomal RNA", at positions 592 to 976 of the family's 1831-position model. The record is from RNAcentral.